CUACGGGUGGCAGCAGUCGAGAAUCUUCCACAAUGCACGAAAGUGUGAUGGAGCGACGUCGCGUGCGAGAUGAAGGCCUUCGGGUCGUAAAUCGUUUUUAUAAGGGAAGAAUUUAGAUGACAUUACCUUAUGAAUAAGGGGUUGCUAAUUGCGUGCCAGCAGCAGCGGUAAUACGCAAACCCCAAGCGUUAUCCGGAUUUAUUGGGCGUAAAGGGUGGGUAGGCGGAUAUAGCAGUCAGUCGUUAAAUCACUGGGCUCAACCCAGUAAUCGCGAUUGAAACACUAUGUCUAGAGAUAAGUAGAGGUCAACGGAACUCAUGGUGUAGCAGUGACAUGCGUUGAUAUCAUGGGGAACACCAAAGGCGAAGGCAGUUGACUGGGCUUUAUCUGACGCUGAGCCACGAAAGCGUGGGGAGUGAAGGGGAUUAGAUACCCCUGUAGUC
RNAcentral lists this ribosomal RNA (443 nucleotides) under uncultured bacterium. RNAcentral's name for it is "partial 16S ribosomal RNA". It matches the Rfam family "Bacterial small subunit ribosomal RNA", at positions 339 to 795 of the family's 1533-position model. The record is from RNAcentral.